Molecule: non-coding RNA, 1792 nt
Organism: Malus domestica (apple)
Lineage: Eukaryota; Viridiplantae; Streptophyta; Magnoliopsida; Rosales; Rosaceae
Source: RefSeq, a predicted model, not a curated record
AACACAAUAUCUCCUCUUUCAUUUUCCACUCUUUCAGGUUUUUUGACAUACUUCUACAGUGUACCAUGAUCAUUUUCAACAUUCUCAACUAGAUUAACAUUAACAUUCGCAUUAUUAUCAGAAUGAUUUAUUUUCCUAAAUUAUCAACAUAUAAAUUGUAAGAAUCAAUUUAAAGUAGUCGCAUAAAAAGUUACAAUUCAAAUUUAUGAGAUCAACAAAGCAACAUAAAAACAUAUAUAAAUAUAUUAUAAUCUAAAAUAUUCUAGACUACUAACAAUAAAAUUAUUAUAAUAUGCAAAAACAGAAAAGCAAAAGAAGCUUUUCGUUUGGAUUGAGAAAAGCAAAAGGGGACUGUAAUCAGUAAAGCAGAGGACUCUAACAAAAAGAACAAGAAAGCUUCAAGAAAGCAUGGAAUCCGAAACCCAGUUACUAGCAGAUGCAUAAGAUGCGAUGCAGCAGUAGCAAAUGGAGACGACAGGAGCAGUUGCCGAAGACGGUUCUGAUUGAUGUUUGAGGAAAAAUAGGAUACUCGUAUCCCAACAGUAAGGUACGCGUAUCCCAUCAGUCAACAACGUAUCUGUUGACUCGGAUACGUAUCAGUCGCGUAUCCGCACGUAUCGUCCUGCGUAUCCGUAUCCCUGCGUGUCAGAUACGGGAUACGUUGGUCUUCUCCCGUGUCCAUGCAUCAUAGCCUACCACCUUGCCCAGGUCGAUUCUAAACCUUCCAACAAAGGUGCGUCUUCCUCCUCAGUGGUCAGCGAGGUUAGUCGGUUUUGGGAUCGGCUAUGGUCUGCAAUGGUUCCUCCCAAAGUCAAAUCUGGUGUUUCCUCAAUAACUUUAUUCCCACCCGGGCUAAUAUGGGCCAUAGGCAUAUCACUACCGAUUCUCUGUGUGUUCAAUGCUCCCAUCCUUACGAAACAACGCUGCAUCUUUUGAAGGACUGCCCAUUUGCCAAAUGUGCGUGGUUAUUGUCUCCAUUGGGCAUUCCCAUUUGUGAUCGCAAUCCUCCCUCUCCACUGUGUUGGGCUAUGAAUGCCAUUGAUAACCUCCCAUCCUGGGGACUUAAGAUGUUUCUUAUGAUCUAUUGGUCUAUCUGGGGUGCUCGGAACACAAAAUUAUGGUCUGGCUCUUGUGAUUCUCCUGAUGUAAGCACUGCUCGGAGUAUCCACUGGUGGCAGGAAUUCAUUUCCCUCCCCAAAGCCAUCCCUCGUCUGUGCAUCCUCCACCUCCCCAUAAAUGGCUGGCACCUCCAUCCAGCAAACUGAAACUGAAUGUCGACGAUGCGUGGGAUGUGGAUAGGAAAUUGGGCGGUUAUGGCAGUGUUGUUCGUGAUGAUCGCGGCUGUUUUGUAGCGGCUAAAUGUGGUCAUUUUCCGAAUGUAUGCUCUCCUUUUCUUGCAACAGCUAUGGCUUUCCGCGCUCUUUUGGUUUGGUCGUCAGCCAGGGGUUUUCAUGAUUUAUUCAUUGAGUCAGAUUCCCCUCUAGAUUGUGGAGGCUUUGAAGGAUCUUUCCUUCAAUCUGUCCUUAAUCGGUCAGGUUGUUGAAGAUAUCAAGACCUUUCUCCCCUCAAUCACUGGAGCUUUACCCACCCACGCUCGAUGCCAAUCCAAUGGAGUUGCACGUCGGCUGGCUCGUGUAGGCAUCUCAUCCAGUCAUACUAGUGAAUGGCUGAUCACCCCCUACUGUAAUCCUUGAUUUACUUGUUGAGGAUUACUUGGCUCUUGUAACCCUUUAUAAGCUUACAAUCUGUUAUCAUUUCACUCAAAGGAAAAAAAAAAAAAAAAAAAAAAAAA